RNAcentral lists this ribosomal RNA (596 nucleotides) under uncultured bacterium. RNAcentral's name for it is "bacterial SSU rRNA". It matches the Rfam family "Bacterial small subunit ribosomal RNA", at positions 248 to 863 of the family's 1533-position model. The record is from RNAcentral.
GUUGGUAAGGUAACGGCUUACCAAGGCGACGAUCAGUAGCCGACCUGAGAGGGUGAUCGGCCACAUUGGAACUGAGACACGGUCCAAACUCCUACGGGAGGCAGCAGUGGGGAAUAUUGCACAAUGGGCGAAAGCCUGAUGCAGCAACGCCGCGUGAGCGAUGAAGGCCUUCGGGUCGUAAAGCUCUGUCCUCAAGGAAGAUAAUGACGGUACUUGAGGAGGAAGCCCCGGCUAACUACGUGCCAGCAGCCGCGGUAAUACGUAGGGGGCUAGCGUUAUCCGGAUUUACUGGGCGUAAAGGGUGCGUAGGUGGUUUCUUAAGUCAGGAGUGAAAGGCUACGGCUCAACCGUAGUAAGCUCUUGAAACUGGGAAACUUGAGUGCAGGAGAGGAAAGUGGAAUUCCUAGUGUAGCGGUGAAAUGCGUAGAUAUUAGGAGGAACACCAGUAGCGAAGGCGGCUUUCUGGACUGUAACUGAUACUGAGGCACGAAAGCGUGGGGAGCAAACAGGAUUAGAUACCCUGGUAGUCCACGCCGUAAACGAUGAGUACUAGGUGUCGGGGGUUACCCCCCUCGGUGCCGCAGCUAACGCAUUAA